AGUGAACGCUGGCGGUAGGCCUAACACAUGCAAGUCGAACGGCAGCACAGUAAGAGCUUGCUCUUACGGGUGGCGAGUGGCGGACGGGUGAGGAAUACAUCGGAAUCUACUUUUUCGUGGGGGCUAACGUAGGGAGACUUACGCUAAUACCGCAUACGACCUACGGGUGAAAGCAGGGGAUCUUCGGACCUUGCGCGAUUGAAUGAGCCGAUGUCGGAUUAGCUAGUUGGCGGGGUAAAGGCCCACCAAGGCGACGAUCCGUAGCUGGACUGAGAGGAUGAUCAGCCACACUGGAACUGAGACACGGUCCAGACUCCUACGGGAGGCAGCAGUGGGGAAUAUUGGACAAUGGGCGCAAGCCUGAUCCAGCCAUACCGCGUGGGUGAAGAAGGCCUUCGGGUUGUAAAGCCCUUUUGUUGGGAAAGAAAAGCAGCAGGUUAAUACCCCGCUGUUCUGACGGUACCCAAAGAAUAAGCACCGGCUAACUUCGUG
RNAcentral lists this ribosomal RNA (492 nucleotides) under uncultured bacterium. RNAcentral describes it as "partial 16S ribosomal RNA". It matches the Rfam family "Bacterial small subunit ribosomal RNA", at positions 29 to 507 of the family's 1533-position model. The record is from RNAcentral.